GUGUGUAGACCUUGUACAAUAGAGCUUAUAGGCUAAUGAGAAGACAGGAAGAAACAACAGGAACACAUAUAGCUGGAAUGCAGAUGGGAUCUGUGCUACUUACGCUAGCCAUGGGAUGAUUAGAACAAGAUAAGAGACAUGAGGAAGACUUCUUCAAGGAGGUGCUCAAGCCAUGUUUUGGAAAAGAGAACUCAAGGUCUGGCAGGGAGAAAGGAGCAAGAGUAGACUUUGAGUCUUUGCUUCAGAUGCAGAUCAAGAUGUGGCAACCUGUUGUGGAGAACUGGGUCCCUUGAGCCUGUGCUGUCUCUUUUUUUCUGGUGGCUUUGUCAUUUGGAACAAUGCAUAAUGGGCUGGAGGCUGAGAAACUCUGAGCUGAGGUGACACAAGGAUGACAGGAACAGUUAUCAGGGAAGCACACUGAUCGACUGAGCUGCCUGCUCCUGGCCUUCUGGAUCCUCCUCAGUUCCUGCUUAUCUCUAGGCCAGGCUCUCAACUCUGUCAAUUCUGGCAAGUAGAGCUGCAGCUGUCUGGCGCCACUGUAAUGCUGUCUCCUCCUCUGAGUGAGUUCAUCCUGGAAACAUUUUCUCCCAUAAGACAUGCACAGGUCUUACGUUUACAUGUUUCACUGAAAGAAAUUUGAUUCCACUGCUGGGAUGACAAGGAAGACUGAAGAAACCUAAUCCUAGGUGCUGCCACUGGGACAAACAAGAAGCACCAGACACAGUGCUGUUUUAGGGUGGGGCAGAAUUAUGCUGAGGGAAAAGUUAUUAUCACUCUUUAAGGCCAAGGAAACCACAAUUUUUAAAGAAGCUUCUAGAAAUUCUACCCAGUAGAAAAUAAAGAUAAACUUCUGUAAGGAAUUUCAUUCUUUUCAGAAUUCGCAAUCUGAAAUGUAGAAGCCCAUUCCUUCAUGGUUCUCAUAGAUAUUUAGUGUGACUGAGGGGUCAGUGGACUCAUAGCACUCAGGCCAGGCUUCUCCUGAGUCCCUUUCUUUGGCACAGAGGGAGUGAUUCACAGAUCCUCUACCCCCAAAGGCAUUGUUUCCUCAUCUCAACAAGAAUCCAGCACCCGUCAUUUUAUCAGCACACGUCACUAGCUUCUCAAGUGAGACUACUCUGAAGUGAUCUGUGUUUGAAGAAUGCCUUUCCCUUUCCCUUACGUAACUAAGAGGAUGAAAAAGGACACUCACUCCCUAUAUGAAAGCUGUGUAUUGUAAGCAGUCAUCUUGCCUGGCUGAGAACUCUAGGAUCUUUUUCUCUGCUCUCCUUUAGGCUGACACUCAUAGCCAGACCUUCUGUUUAUUAGCCCCCUGAAUCUAUUUGAAAAUAUUUUUGCUUUCAUUAUAAUAUAAGUCACAUUCUUCUUGCAUCUGCCGCUGCAUUUUCCAAAAGGGUUAUGUCAAGGGAAAUUCAACACUCACUUUUCUCAUUAUUUGCUUACCAGCUUGCUCACUCAUCAAAAUACCAGAGUUAUUUGAUACUUCAGAAGAUUAUUUCCCCCUUUAGAUGAUGUGUCAAGGGAAGGGGAGCUGGCCCCAGUAUCAGGUGACAGAAUUUUCUUCGCAUUUCUACUGUUGACUCAAUAAAUGCCCUUGGGCAAGUCA
Molecule: long non-coding RNA, 1603 nt
Filed under: Homo sapiens (human)
Lineage: Eukaryota; Metazoa; Chordata; Mammalia; Primates; Hominidae
Description: HSALNT0336056
Source: RNAcentral